UUUAACAAUGAAGCGAGUGGCGAACUGGUGAGUAACACGUGGGAAUCUGCCCAGAAGCAGGGGAUAACACUUGGAAACAGGUGCUAAUACCGUAUAACAACAAAAUCCGCAUGGAUUUUGUUUGAAAGGUGGCUUCGGCUAUCACUUCUGGAUGAUCCCGCGGCGUAUUAGUUAGUUGGUGAGGUAAAGGCCCACCAAGACGAUGAUACGUAGCCGACCUGAGAGGGUAAUCGGCCACAUUGGGACUGAGACACGGCCCAAACUCCUACGGGAGGCAGCAGUAGGGAAUCUUCCACAAUGGACGAAAGUCUGAUGGAGCAAUGCCGCGUGAGUGAAGAAGGGUUUCGGCUCGUAAAACUCUGUUGUUAAAGAAGAACACCUUUGAGAGUAACUGUUCAAGGGUUGACGGUAUUUAACCAGAAAGCCACGGCUAACUACGUGCCAGCAGCCGCGGUAAUACGUAGGUGGCAAGCGUUGUCCGGAUUUAUUGGGCGUAAAGCGAGCGCAGGCGGUUUUUUAAGUCUGAUGUGAAAGCCUUCGGCUUAACCGGAGAAGUGCAUCGGAAACUGGGAGACUUGAGUGCAGAAGAGGACAGUGGAACUCCAUGUGUAGCGGUGGAAUGCGUAGAUAUAUGGAAGAACACCAGUGGCGAAGGCGGCUGUCUAGUCUGUAACUGACGCUGAGGCUCGAAAGCAUGGGUAGCGAACAGGAUUAGAUACCCUGGUAGUCCAUGCCGUAGACGAUGAGUGCUAAGUGUUGGAGGGUUUCCGCCCUUCAGUGCUGCAGCUAACGCAUUAAGCACUCCGCCUGGGGAGUACGACCGCAAGGUUGAAACUCAAAGGAAUUGACGGGGGCCCGCACAAGCGGUGGAGCAUGUGGUUUAAUUCGAAGCUACGCGAAGAACCUUACCAGGUCUUGACAUCUUCUGCCAAUCUUAGAGAUAAGACGUUCCCUUCGGGGACAGAAUGACAGGUGAUGCAUGGUUGUCGUCAGCUCGUGUCAUGAGAUGUUGGGUUAAGUCCCGCAACAAGC
RNAcentral lists this ribosomal RNA (1032 nucleotides) under Levilactobacillus brevis. Its description in RNAcentral is "bacterial SSU rRNA". It matches the Rfam family "Bacterial small subunit ribosomal RNA", at positions 79 to 1097 of the family's 1533-position model. The record is from RNAcentral. Lineage: Bacteria; Bacillati; Bacillota; Bacilli; Lactobacillales; Lactobacillaceae.